Molecule: ribosomal RNA, 506 nt
Filed under: uncultured bacterium
Lineage: Bacteria
Description: partial 16S ribosomal RNA
Rfam family: Bacterial small subunit ribosomal RNA
Source: RNAcentral
AUUGAACGCUGGCGGCAGGCCUAACACAUGCAAGUCGAACGGUAACAGGAAACAGCUUGCUGUUUCGCUGACGAGUGGCGGACGGGUGAGUAAUGUCUGGGAAACUGCCUGAUGGAGGGGGAUAACUACUGGAAACGGUAUCUAAUACCGCAUAACGUCGCAAGACCAAAGAGGGGGACCUUCGGGCCUCUUGCCAUCGGAUGUGCCCAGAUGGGAUUAGCUAGUAGGUGGGGUAACGGCUCACCUAGGCGACGAUCCCUAGCUGGGCUGCGGGGAUGACCAACCACACGGGAACUGAGACACGGAACAGACUCCUACGGGAGGCAGCAGUGGGGAAUAUUGCACAAUGGGCGCAAGCCUGAUGCGGCCAUGCCGCGUGUAUGAAGAAGGCCUUCGGGUUGUAAAGUACUUUCAGCGGGGAGGAAGGGAGUAAAGUCAAUACCUUUGCUCAUUGACGUUACCCGCAGAAGAAGCACCGGCUAACUCCGUGCCAGCAGCCGCGGUAA